This 253-nucleotide ribosomal RNA is filed under the name uncultured bacterium. RNAcentral describes it as "partial 16S ribosomal RNA". It matches the Rfam family "Bacterial small subunit ribosomal RNA", at positions 524 to 776 of the family's 1533-position model. The record is from RNAcentral.
UACGUAGGGUGCAAGCGUUAAUCGGAAUUACUGGGCGUAAAGCGUGCGCAGGCGGUGAUGCAAGACAGAUGUGAAAUCCCCGGGCUUAACCUGGGAACUGCAUUUGUGACUGCAUGGCUGGAGUGCGGCAGAGGGGGAUGGAAUUCCGCGUGUAGCAGUGAAAUGCGUAGAUAUGCGGAGGAACACCGAUGGCGAAGGCAAUUCCCUGGGCCUGCACUGACGCUCAUGCACGAAAGCGUGGGGAGCAAACAGG